Molecule: transfer RNA, 63 nt
Filed under: Kolla paulula
Lineage: Eukaryota; Metazoa; Arthropoda; Insecta; Hemiptera; Cicadellidae
Description: tRNA-Thr
Source: RNAcentral
GUUUUAAUAAUUUAAUAAAAAUAUUAGUUUUGUAAACUAAAAUUAGGAUAUUCCUUUAAAACA